UACGGAGGGGGCGAGCGUUAUUCGGAAUUAUUGGGCGUAAAGGGCGCGUAGGCGGCCCGGUAAGUCAAAGGUGAAAUCCCUCGGCUCAACUGAGGAACUGCCUUUGAAACUGUCGGGCUUGAGGCCGGGAGGGGGUAGUGGAAUUCCCAGUGUAGCGGUGAAAUGCGUAGAUAUUGGGAGGAACACCGGUGGCGAAGGCGGCUACCUGGACCGGUUCUGACGCUGAUGCGCGAAAGCGUGGGUAGCAAACAGG
RNAcentral lists this ribosomal RNA (253 nucleotides) under uncultured bacterium. RNAcentral's name for it is "partial 16S ribosomal RNA". It matches the Rfam family "Bacterial small subunit ribosomal RNA", at positions 524 to 776 of the family's 1533-position model. The record is from RNAcentral.